Molecule: ribosomal RNA, 495 nt
Filed under: uncultured bacterium
Lineage: Bacteria
Description: bacterial SSU rRNA
Rfam family: Bacterial small subunit ribosomal RNA
Source: RNAcentral
UGGCGGCGUGCCUAACACAUGCAAGUCGAGCGGGGACUUACGACUGAAUUGAAGACUUCGGUUGAAUAUGAAGAUGUAAAGUUCUAGCGGCGGACGGGUGAGUAACGCGUGAGCAACCUGUCCCUUACAGGGGGAUAACACAGCGAAAGUUGUACUAAUACCGCAUGAGACCACGGAGUGACAUCAUUCAGGGGUCAAAGGAGCAAUCCGGUAAGGGGUGGGCUCGCGUCCGAUUAGAUAGUUGGUGAGGUAACGGCCCACCAAGUCGACGAUCGGUAGCCGACCUGAGAGGGUGAUCGGCCACAUUGGGACUGAGACACGGCCCAAACUCCUACGGGAGGCAGCAGUGGGGAAUAUUGGGCAAUGGGGGAAACCCUGACCCAGCAACGCCGCGUGAGGGAAGAAGGUUUUCGGAUCGUAAACCUCUGUCCUUGGUGAAGAGGAAGAGACGGUAGCCAAGGAGGAAGCCCCGGCUAACUACGUGCCAGCAGCUGC